AGAGGUCUUCAUCUCCUCAGUCACAUUCUUGUUUCAAAUUCCUCAAAAAUGCUUAUAAUUAUAUUAUUUACCUGUUUGUGUAAUGUCUUUCUCAUCAAGGAACCAUGUUUUUACCUCUAAGAGCUGCUUCACCUGGGUUUCCUUGCUUUCCAGCUUCUAACAGCAUUCAACUCUGGAGAUGAGAGGACAGGAAGAAAGGUUUGGUGGUGGCUGCUUGCUCCCAAGGAAGCCAUAACUGCUUUUCAGAUGUGCCUCUCCUACAACUCAGGUUGGAUCUGGAAUGUUUCCCAGAGGACUCUCUGUGUUUCAGGCAUAAACCCUAACCUGUGACUCUAUUGGGAGGGUAUUUUAAACAAAUACAAGAUCAGAGAAAGUAAAGUUGCAAGAAAACCACAGUGGGUUGGCAGGACAAGUAUCCCAAACUGGAAAAGAGUCCCUGCAUUCAAUUUCCUCUCAGGAAGUUUUACCUUCAAAAGUCCAAGUAGAGGUCAAGCUGUGGGUUGCCGGAAAUAGUAAUGUCUUCUACCGUCUGAGCACCAGACGACACUUAAUGAAACCCCCAACUUUGUGGACAUUGCUGCUGCUGCUGCUGAAUUAUGAGGCCUGCCAUGCACCACUUCUGCAGAGACUAGCUUUGUUUUUGCAAAAUGCAUGGAAUGGAGUUUGUGGGUAUAUAGAUUGCAGGCAAUGAGAGACCUGAGUGAAUAUGUGAGAAUGACCACAAGCCACCAGAUGUGGGUGUUCAUCCGUUUGCCUCAUUACUAAGAGGUUUUAGUUCUAAAAAAUAUCCGGGAGGAUUUAGCUUUGCGGAAGUAGGUGGGGAAACAGAAUAGAAUAAGAUUUUUUAAAUUUUAAACAAUUUAUUUGAGCUCCCAAUUGAUAUAUUCUAACUUCUUUACACUGGAAUCAGGAUUUCCUAAGAGGCAGUGGGAGAAAGAUUUUAUCAGUGCCCAUAGGCAUUAGAAAUUGAUUUUGAAAUUUAUUUAGUGUGUCAUCAGGAUGACAUUUGAUUAUAAAGAAGCUGGGAAUUGGAAAGUUUAGAUAUAAGUUAUUAAAACAAUAAUUAAGACUUUCUGUGGGCCUAGGCAUAUGUUUGUCUUGUUGGCAUAUGUUCUGCUCCAUUUGCAAACUAAGCUGUUGAUCCACUUCUGUCUGGUGUUCUGCUCCUUAUUCAUGUCAUUCAAAAUGAAGUCCAUUUCACUUUUUUCAGAGACAGCAUAGGACAGUAUCAAGAACAGUUCUGGAGUCCAGCUAGUUGAGUUCAAAUCCAGGCUCUGCCUCUAUCAAGAUUUGUGAUCUCAGGCCAGUUAGUAAACUCUCUGUGCUCCAGUUUCUUCAUUUGCAAAGUGUGGAUGAUAAUAUUUUCUAUUUCAUGGGGAUUAAAAACAAAGAAUCAUAAUGAGCAUUUGGUGAUAGUGAG
Molecule: long non-coding RNA, 1420 nt
Organism: Ictidomys tridecemlineatus (thirteen-lined ground squirrel)
Lineage: Eukaryota; Metazoa; Chordata; Mammalia; Rodentia; Sciuridae
Source: RefSeq, a predicted model, not a curated record